RNAcentral lists this ribosomal RNA (1572 nucleotides) under Pristimantis ridens (pygmy robber frog). RNAcentral's name for it is "16S ribosomal RNA". It matches the Rfam family "Bacterial large subunit ribosomal RNA", at positions 380 to 2827 of the family's 2925-position model. The record is from RNAcentral. Lineage: Eukaryota; Metazoa; Chordata; Amphibia; Anura; Strabomantidae.
CUAAAAAUUUAGCCCCCGUCCCCACCCCUUACUUAUACUUAAACAAUAAAAUAUUCUUACAAUUUAGUAAAGAAGAUUAAAAAUUUUCUAAGAGCCAUAAAAAUGUACCGCAAGGGAAAACUGAAAUAAAAAUGAAAUAAACCUCAAGCACAAAAAACUAGAGAUCCACCCUCGUACCUUUUGCAUCAUGGUUUAGCCAGUCUAAUUAAGCAAAAAGACCUUAAGUUUAACUUCCCGAAACUAAGUGAGCUAUCUUAGGGCCGCUUAAUGAGCUAACCCAUCUAUGUUGAAAAAUAGUGGGAUGACCCUAAAAUAGAGGUGACAGACCUAACGAACCUAGUUAUAGCUGGUUUCUCAAGAAAAGAAUUUAAGUUCAACCUAAAGAAAACAAAUCUAAAAAAAUUUCACCUUUAGAGUAAUUCAAAUAAGGUACAGCCUAUUUGAAACAGGACACAACCUUCACUAACGGGUAAAAAUUACACCAAAUCCGCAAAGUAGGCUUAAAACCAGCCACCUUCCAAAAAGCGUCAAAGCUUACACAUCAAGUAAUACAUAAAUUCACAUUAACCCCUUUUUUCCUACUGAGAACUUCUAUAUAAUUAUAGAAAUUUUUAUGCUAAAACUAGUAACAAGAGAUUAACCCCUCUCUUACAUGUAAACUUAAGCCAACAAGAAUCCAUCAUUGGCAACUAACAGAACUAAACUUAUGUAGUAACAUCACUAGAAAAUCCUACUUCCCCCCCUGUUAACCUAACACAAGAACAUCACAAGAAAGAUUUAAAGAGAAAGAAGGAACUCGGCAAAAACUAAACCCGCCUGUUUACCAAAAACAUCACCUCUUGCAAUCAAUAAGAGGCCCAGCCUGCCCAGUGACUCUGUUCAACGGCCGCGGUAUCCUAACCGUGCUAAGGUAGCGUAAUCACUUGUUUUCUAAAUAAAGACUAGUAUGAAAGGCAUCACGAGGAUUAAGCUGUCUCCUUUCUCUAAUCAGUGAAACUAAUCUCCCCGUGAAGAAGCGGGGAUAACUUUAUAAGACGAGAAGACCCUAUGGAGCUUUAAACAUUAUUACAAUGCCUAUAAUAUUACAAAUACUAUGGUUCCUACCACCACCCGCACACUGAUUUUAUGUUUUCGGUUGGGGUGACCGCGGAGAACAAAUUAUCCUCCACGAUGAAAAGAAACUCUUCUUAAACUAUAAGCUACAGCUUUAAUUAUCAUUAAUUUGACAUAAAUUGACCCAAUAUUUUGACCAACGAACCAAGUUACCCUAGGGAUAACAGCGCAAUCCACUUCAAGAGUCCUUAUCGACAAGUGGGCUUACGACCUCGAUGUUGGAUCAGGGUAUCCCAGUGGUGCAGCAGCUACUAAAGGUUCGUUUGUUCAACGAUUAAAACCCCACGUGAUCUGAGUUCAGACCGGAGUAAUCCAGGUCAGUUUCUAUCUAUAAAAAGCUAUUUUUAGUACGAAAGGACCAAAAUAGCAUGGCCUAUGCUCUACGUAAGCCAUAAUUAUUUACUCUUGUUAACCUAACUUAAAAAGUAACCAACUUUCAACUUCCCCCUAAAAGAAAGG